This 440-nucleotide ribosomal RNA is filed under the name uncultured bacterium. Its description in RNAcentral is "partial 16S ribosomal RNA". It matches the Rfam family "Bacterial small subunit ribosomal RNA", at positions 338 to 795 of the family's 1533-position model. The record is from RNAcentral.
CCUACGGGUGGCAGCAGUAGGGAAUAUUGCUCAAUGGGGGAAACCCUGAAGCAGCAACGCCGCGUGGAGGAUGAAGGUUUUCGGCUUGUAAACUCCUUUUGUCAGAGGAGAUAAUGACGGUAUCUAAAGAAUAAGCACCGGCUAACUCCGUGCCAGCAGCCGCGGUAAUACGGAGGGGGCAAGCGUUACCCGGAUUCACUGGGCGUAAAGGGCGCGUAGGCGGGAUAGCAAGUCAGAUGUGAAAUCCUAUGGCUUAACCAUAGAACUGCAUUUGAAACUGUGAUUCUAGAGUAUGGGAGGGGUAGGUGGAAUUCUUGGUGUAGGGGUAAAAUCCGUAGAGAUCAAGAGGAAUACUCAUUGCGAAGGCGACCUGCUAGACCAUAACUGACGCUGAUGCGCGAAAGCGUGGGGAGCAAACAGGAUUAGAUACCCGUGUAGUC